GACGAACGCUGGCGGCGUGCUUAACACAUGCAAGUCGAACGAUGAAGCCGGAGCUUGCUCUGGUGGAUUAGUGGCGAACGGGUGAGUAACACGUGAGUAACCUGCCCUUGACUCUGGGAUAAGCGUUGGAAACGACGUCUAAUACCGGAUACGAGCUAGGACCGCAUGGUCACUAGCUGGAAAGAACUUCGGUCAAGGAUGGACUCGCGGCCUAUCAGUUAGUUGGUGAGGUAACGGCUCACCAAGACGACGACGGGUAGCCGGCCUGAGAGGGUGACCGGCCACACUGGGACUGAGACACGGGCGAGACUCCUACGGGAGGCAGCAGUGGGGAAUAUUGCACAAUGGGCGCAAGCCUGAUGCAGCAACGCCGCGUGAGGGACGACGGCCUUCGGGUUGUAAACCUCUUUUAGCAGGGAAGAAGCGCAAGUGACGGUACCUGCAGAAAAAGCACCGGCUAACUACGUGCCAGCAGCCGCCGCGG
RNAcentral lists this ribosomal RNA (484 nucleotides) under uncultured bacterium. Its description in RNAcentral is "partial 16S ribosomal RNA". It matches the Rfam family "Bacterial small subunit ribosomal RNA", at positions 28 to 523 of the family's 1533-position model. The record is from RNAcentral.